GACGAACGCUGGCGGCGUGCUUAACACAUGCAAGUCGAACGCUGAAGCUCAGCUUUUGUUGGGUGGAUGAGUGGCGAACGGGUGAGUAACACGUGAGUAACCUGCCCCCUUCUUUGGGAUAACGCCCGGAAACGGGUGCUAAUACUGGAUAUUCACUGGUCUUCGCAUGGGGGUUGGUGGAAAGGGUUUUUCUGGUGGGGGAUGGGCUCGCGGCCUAUCAGCUUGUUGGUGGGGUGAUGGCCUACCAAGGCUUUGACGGGUAGCCGGCCUGAGAGGGUGACCGGUAACAUUGGGACUGAGAUACGGCCCAGACUCCUACGGGAGGCAGCAGUGGGGAAUAUGGCACAAUGGGCGCAAGCCUGAUGCAGCGACGCCGCGUGAGGGGUGGAGGCCUUCGGGUUGUGAACCUCUUUCGCUCAUGGUCAAGCCGCAACAAUGGUUGUGGUGAGGGUAGUGGGUAAAGAAGCGCCGGCUAACUACGUG
RNAcentral lists this ribosomal RNA (483 nucleotides) under uncultured bacterium. Its description in RNAcentral is "partial 16S ribosomal RNA". It matches the Rfam family "Bacterial small subunit ribosomal RNA", at positions 28 to 507 of the family's 1533-position model. The record is from RNAcentral.